Non-coding RNA from Sus scrofa (pig), 5388 nucleotides. The record is from RefSeq and is a predicted model, not a curated record. NCBI's taxonomy places the organism in Eukaryota, Metazoa, Chordata, Mammalia, Artiodactyla, Suidae.
GGUCGAUAGGACUAGUGUUUCUAGCUGUGUGGAAGCCAAAAUACCGCACUGGGCCACCCCGCUCUUUGGGUCCGUUUUAGCCAAACAUAUGGAUACUUUCACAAUAGGGGAUAGAUAUAGGGCAUGGUUUUUCAGCAGGAAUGGGAAUCUGUAGUUUAUUAUUUUCAGGUUAAGUUAAUAUGCAAAUUAUGCAAAAUAUGUGGAAAUACAGUAAUUAUUGUUGCUUUAAAAGCUUUUAGCUAGCAACAGAACGGCAACCUUAAUUGCAAAGCACACACAUCAAUGAUUCAUCAUUCAUUUAACAAAUAUUUAAUAAGCACCUUAUGAGAAAAGCUGCAGUAGGUUUUGUGGAGGAUGGGAGGAUGACUAAGACCCAGUUCUGUUGUCAUGGAAACCAUUGUGACUCCUGCCAUCAGCCACCACCUGUUCUUAUUGCAGAUCUGAAAAUUAAGUCCUAGCACCUUUAGAAAACAAUCACACACACAGUUUGACUUGGCUCUAAAGUGUCCCAGCAAAUCCAUCAAAUUAUUAUUUCCUUUUACAUGGGGGGAACAACACAGUAACCCUUUGUCCUUUGCUCUAAGUUGUUUUUCCAGGAAUGGAGACAGGUUACCCUGAGCUGUUCAUAUUCGCUGGCUCUUGGCUUGUGAAUAAUAACAUACAUCUGAGCUGCUUCAGGGUCUGUGCAGAUGACCCAUUCAACAACAUGGCCUGGCAUGCCCUUGUCCUCUCAAGACUCCUCAGUGGCCCACCUUAUGGUCCAAAUCUUGAAUCCUGUUGUUGCUCAGAGCUGCUUGACCUCUAGGAUCUUAAACCGGCCACAGGUGUCUCUUGCAAGUUCAUACUUCCUGAGUUUUAACAUCCCUGUGUUCUCUAACCCUUCAACUGCCUGAAAUUCUUAGUCUCUCUCCCAUCCACUGGAAUAAAGAAGCAUUUAGAGGCUGCAGAAAAUUGGAAGGCGGGGGAGGGGUGGUGGACUUUAGAAGCUUUUACAUAGCAAGCAGAGGCUUCUAGACACAUUACAGCUUAGAAUGUAUGCUUCCCUGGUUCAGAAUGACGGUGGGGUGAUGAUAGAGACUGUAGGUAGAAUAAACUGGAGAAAGGAAAGCAGGGGAGGUAAUUAGGGACUAAACUAAGAUGGUGAGAAAGAGGAAAAGAGAUUUAAAGAUUUGGAGGUAAACUAAACAGUUGUUAUAUAUACGACAAGAGGUAAGGGGGUGCAAGGAGUAGGAAAGCAUCAAGGAUGGCUAUGAUUUAUCUAACUCGGGGACUGAAUAGAUGAGUGAUAAUGCAUUAAUCAAGUUGAAGAACAGUGGAGGUCAAGAAAUCAAAAGAACAGAAAGUAUAAGACCCAACAGCCCAUUGGAGUUGGGAGCUCAACUUCCAUUCAUCAGUGUUGGGACUCACUUCUCUGUAUGGUUGGCACCUUUGUCCCAGAGCUUUUGGGAAUAUAAGGUUUCUUUGCCUCAGGAGUCAUUGUGGUUCAAAUUUGGGCUGAAUGUAAAGCAAUCAGAGUUUUUAUAGAAAUAUGGCUUCGUGGGUCCACUUGUCAGAGAUGCUGACUCUGGGUCUAGGGUGGGAAUUUAGGAAUCUGUAAUUUAGGUACAUGUUCCCUGACUCCCAACCUUGAUUCUGAUGCACAGGGGCCAAGGGCCACCCCUUGAGAGACUGCUCUAGGUGAACCUUCGCUUUCCUUCAUGUUUUGCCUCAGUGGAAUCCUUGGAAAGCUUAGCUAUAAAUCAAAAGGCUUUUAAACAUCAUGAGUUUCUCUUUAGGAUUUCUUUUGGGUUCUACUAUAGGAAAACUGCAUCAAAAUUAAAGCAGGGUUCUUAUCCCCAAGAAAAAAAAUAGGUAAAGGGCACAAAAUGAUAAUUCAUAGAAGAAAAAGCAUUUAAUAAACUAAUGAAGAAAUGUCCAACAAAUAAGGAAAGAAAUACGAAACAACUAGAUCCCAUUUUCAACUAAAAAAUAGACAAGUUUUUUUUUUCUCUUUUUCCUAAUGAUUCAUGGAACAAGCAUGCUCAAACCUUGUUAGUAUAAAUAUAAGAAGUGAAAAAUAAUUUGAGAGUGGGUAUCGAAGAAGCCCUCGAAUCUUAAUAUGCUGAGAAUUCUUCCUGAGGAAAUAAGCAGAGAGAGGCACAAAGAUUAUGCCUACGGAUGUUUACUGGAAUCCUAUUUAAAAUGAUGAAAAAUUGAAACAACCUAAUUGAUCAUUAGUUUAAAAAUGAUUAAAAUAAAUGGCAGCAUACCCAUAAUGAGUAAUAUUAUGGAACCAUUAAACAGUAUGUUUCGAGGAAUAAUUAAGGCAAUGGAGAACUAACUGUUCUAAUCGAGUAAAUGGAGAGAGCUGGAAACAGUUUUUUAUUUAAUGGAAUCCUGAUUUGUCUGGAGAAAAAUGUAGAUGUCUACACACAAAAAUUUUUUUGAAAAAAUAUUUAAAAUAUCAACCCUCUCUGGAGGGUUCUUUACACUUCGUACAUUUUUGCACAUUUUCUUCAGUGAUUAUGAAUUAAUUUUAUAUCUUAAUAAAAAACAUUCUCCCCCUAAGAAACAAAAACCCUGAUUCUGACUUCAGCCUGAAAAAUUGUCUCUGGUCUUUGUCUGGGCCGAUUUAGAGCCAAACUGAAUUCUGUAUAAUUCUACACUCUGAAGUGCUACAGCUCUCCUGGUCUUGGCAGUAAAAGACUCUCCAGGCACUUGAAUAAGAUCCUCGCAAUCAGAGUCGUGAUUACUAAGAGGUUCAAGCUUUGUUUGUAAGAGAAGUUCUGAUUCUUUUCUUUAAAAGUUCCUACUUUCACUGAUUAGUCUUAUUUUUCAUGAAGUUAGAAGUGCUCUUGUAAACUUCCAUUUGUUGGAUAUCUCCUUUUUAACCCUACGUGUGUUCCAAAAAGCCUUCAGUCUUUGCAGAGUCAGUGGGAGCCCCGCAUAGGUAAGUGUGGCCGGCUUAGGGGUAGGUGGUGCUUAGGUGCUCCUGGGUGUGGUCAGCACCCUCCCCACCACCUCCCCUGCCCAGCAACUAGAUGGGAAUUUGGGUGUCCAUCAGGCUGGCCCCGUCUGAGCUAAAACCCUCUGGACCCGCCUCCAUGCUGAACCCCUCCUCUGCUCCAGUCUCAUGCCCGUUAGCUCUCCAUUCCCUCACCCUCAGCUCUCAGCCUGGUUUCCUGCUCAGAGCCCAGCAUCCUCCCCUUGGAUCUGUAGCAUGAUGUUGCUUCUGGGAUGUGGGCCUUGGCUCCCUUCUUUGGCUUCAUUUACCUUCAUUUCCUAAAUGACAUGCACUUCCAGAUGAUUUAGCAAAGGAUUCUGCCCAUCGAGUCCAGUCCUGGGUCCCUUCUCUGAACCCCCAGAAACGGAACUGCUCCAGAGGCAGUGAACCCACAGAUCCACAAGCCCUAACCUGUGACAAGGUCCCUACAGUUCUGGUAACAAUUUGCUGUUACCUGGUGGUGGAAUAUGCUUAGGAAAGCGCACACCAGCCUCUGAGUAGACGACUGACCCUUGCCUUCCUCCCGCUUAGGGCCAGGGCCGGAAGACUUCACCCAACCCUGCGGCUCCCCUCUCAGAGGAGGAAUACCUACCCCCAGGAUUUCUUUGGAACCGUUACAGGCUGCAAUGCUUGCAGAGAGCUGAGAUCACAAGGUGGCCAAAUCACCAAUUCCAAAGUUCGGCAAGCUCUACGAUGGAGAGAAGAGACAUGCAAACCGUUUCACAUUUGGCAGAGUGCUGGAGAAAAAGUGACUGCCACGGAAGUGGGUAAGAAGAAAUCAGCUAAAAUUUUCACCUAAUUCCUAAAGGCUGAGCAUAUCAGUUUAGAAUUACUGGGAGCCUUUUAUGUGUCCACUUGACUAGGCACAGUACCCAGAUAUUUGAUGAAACACUAUUCUGUAUGUUUCUGCAAAGUUUUGUUUUUUUUAAAUGAAAAUAACAUUUAAAUCAGUAGGCUUUGUAUAAAACAGAUUGCCCUCCAGCAUGUGGGUGGGUCUUUUCCAAUCAGUUGAGGAUUUUAAGAGAAAAAGACUGAGGUCCCCAGAAAAAUUCUGCCAGCAGACAGCUUUUAGACCUGAGUUAUAGCAUUGGCUCUUCCGUGGUUCUCCAACCUCCCAGACUACCCUGCAGAUUUUGGACUUACCAGCCUCCAUAAUUUUGAGAGCCAAUUCCUUAAAAUAAAUAUUUAUUUCUCUUAGAUAUUUAGACAGGUAUAUAUAUUUCUUCCCCCUCCUCCAUGUAUAUAUGUGCAGGAGAAACCUAUGUCACUCUGGACAGAAUGGACAGCUGAAGCACUUGUGCCCCACAAAAAGAGCAGGAAAAGUGGCUCGAGGGUGUCAUAUGGUCAGUUUCUCAAAAUAUGUAUAUACUGAUUCUGUUUCUCUAGAGAACAGUAAUGCAGAGCUCCAGGGGAGUUUAUGUUCACCUGCAAGGUCUUCUCCACAGGUGUUCAAUGGGUGCUCAUAAGAAAGGUUGGGGGCAGGACAGGAGACCAGAGAGAGCCCCACUUUGGUGGUGUAUGUUUGUGUGAUUUGUCUGGCUGCUGUUGGGGUUAGGCGCAAACAACCACCCAUGUCAUCUGACCCUUCUUUAUUAAAGCAAAAGAGCUUUAAGCCACUAGGGAUGGGGCAGUAGACCCUCCUGCCCCCAGGGUCAGCAGGGCAAGGGUUGAAGCAAAACCUGUCUGCAUAUAGGGAAGGGCAGGAAAUCAUCCUUCUCACUUCCAUGAACCCAACAGACAUCUGUUGCUUUGGGAGGAAGAGUAGAAGCAAAAGCUGUUUGCUCUUGGGGCAGAGGUGGGAGGGUAGGAGAAAUCAUGAAAAAAACUCUUGGGUCCAAGAACCUACACCAAUAUAAAGCAGAGGCAGACUACCACUGGGAGGGAAACAGGUACCUCUCUCCUGCCCAAGCCCCACCAAAGAUACAAGGCAGAGUUUGGCUAACAUGGAGGAAGUGAGGGAAGGAGAGUCAGACCAUUGAGAAGUUUCCACUCCCCAGGCCCAGAUGCACAGGUCUUAUCUAGACUGAAGCUGAACCAACAACAACCACCUGCCUCCACCACAGUCUAGCAACAAGCAGCAGGUAACAACAGUCUAUUGCUGAGGGGCAGAUAAGACUGUAAGGGAAAAAUCCUCCAGUAACCCAUACUCCACACUAAGUACAAGGUGGGCACUUGCUGGUGCACCAAGGAUCAUGAUAGCAACAACUCAACUCAAGCCAGCCCAACUACUGACUAGAUUAACUCACAACAAUUGCCUAGCAGAAGAAGCAUGACUCUUUUCAGGUGUAAAUGCUGUUCACCUUAGUCUCCAUUGGCUUCUACACAUAACAUAAUAUCCAGCAUACAAUAACAAAUUAUGACAAUACAAAAAAAAAAAAGAGAGAGAGAGAGAGAGAGAGGCUUAU